RNAcentral lists this transfer RNA (78 nucleotides) under Marmota monax (woodchuck). Its description in RNAcentral is "tRNA.Thr". The record is from RNAcentral. Lineage: Eukaryota; Metazoa; Chordata; Mammalia; Rodentia; Sciuridae.
AUUGGGGUGCAGCUCGGUGGUAGAGCGUGUGCUUAGUUAGCAAGUGUGAAUUCCUGCGUUCGAUCCCCAGCACCAAAA